Oreochromis aureus is the source of this 2733-nucleotide long non-coding RNA. Lineage: Eukaryota; Metazoa; Chordata; Actinopteri; Cichliformes; Cichlidae. The record is from Ensembl.
CGCAGCCUCUGAAUUUGGACACCCCCGGCCUGUUUCUGGCCGGACAAUAAUAACGGUGACAUUUAACUUAUUUUAUCCGAUAAAUAAACAUUGUAAAAUUCAAGUUUUACAAUGCCUAACAGCCCUUUUGAUUGUCUCCCUAAUUCUGAGGUCUCAAGGUUGGCAAGUAUGUGCUAGGCUUUCACCCACAUCAGUCUGUCAAUCAUCCAUGUCUGUUGCUGUAACAGUAGUUCAUGUGUGGAAUAAAAAAUCCCAGCUCACUGAUUUGAUCGGGGCAAUGGUGCCUAAAAUGUUGCAUAAUUUUGCUAAGAGAUCUUUUACUUUGUGGUAAUCUUAGAUGACAAAAACCAGCAGGUCAUUCAGUGUUCCCUUAGUGCUAAUGUGUCAGAGAUGUUGGUGUAUUAUAACUAAAAUAAUGUUGUUAAGUCCUUAAAGUCAUAUUCUUUUAUUGUCAUGACUGUAUUUGAAGCUAUUUUUAUUUUUGUAUGAUACCUGAUUUAUAUGGAAUAUGGCUGAAGUAAACUAAAGUCUAAAAUACUUAGUCAUUUGUUUAAUAGUAAUUUAACAUUAUAUAAUUCACAUAUAAAACUAUGAAUUAUUAUUUUGAAUGGUUUAAAAGCAUGUAGAAUAGCAUAUUUAGGCAAGUAUAUUUCUCCUUUUGUUAUCAAGAAGCAAAGACAAAAAGGAAAAAAAAAAGAAGAAGAAAGAAACAGGGCAGGGUUCUGUGGCUGAAUCAUCCGUCCCCACCAAUGCCAAAACCAAAUCUACGCCCUUGCGUGGUCAUGUGACCUGGUAUUUUGAACCAAGCUUCGGAGCAGUGUUUUAAACAUCCCAGUAAACAGGUGUGUUUACAGGUUGUAACUGCAGAAGCCUCCUAUUGGCCAGUUUGCUUGCAAAUUGACUCCAUUUGAUCGAAGCUGGCGUUUCCCCCUCAGGAAGUUCAACUGGCUGCCAAUUUAUACAAGCGUAGCUAUCAACAAGGCAUCUAACUUUUUUAGUGGUUGGAGUGGUUUCCACACCUAAUCGAAUCAGUUUGGAUCACUUUGCUUCACCUGAACACCCUGACAGUAUUUACACACUGCUGUCUGACUGCAUUCAGCUGACACUGAGAUGAAGCAGAAAAGAAGCAGCUGGUGAAGGUAGAAAGUGUGUGUGAGCUGAUGUGGAUGUGAAUUCAGCAGCAUGGAUCAGUGUGAGGACAGAGAGGAGGGAGUCCCUCCCUCUAAAACCACUCUGUGUGGGGAACAUGAGAGCCAGACCAAAGCUCAGAGUUCAGAGCAGCGGUACGCACUGUAUUCUGCCAGACCUGGGCCCAGCUGCAGAUCCCUAACGACUGACUUGUACUUGGAGUUACACGUGUUUUUUACUCGAAAGCGUCUCCCUUCCAGUUGGUCCUCCUCACUGUUUUGUGGAGUGAAUCAAGCACAAGACUGUACUAAACUUGAACCUGAAUCUAAACAUGAACUGAUGCCUGAAACAACAAGCAUACCUGAACAAGAAGCCUCUGCGACUUCAAAUCUUCAGAUCCUCGGUUGUAAACAUGUCAUGGAUCAGGAUCAGGCUGGGCCCCGGCAGAUGAUCUGUCCAGUGUUGAACAGCAGUGCUGUAAAAAAGACAGACGGGCUUUUAAAGGAAUGGUUGUGGGAAACUCUGGAGACUUUGGGAACUGAGGAGCUGAAAAACUUCAAGUGGUGUCUGCAAAAUGUUACUGAGUCAAAGGAUGGCUUCAAGCCAAUCAAAAAGAGUCGACUGGAGAACGCAGACAGACUGGACACAGUGGACCUGAUGGUGCAGAUGUACGAUACAAAGACUGCAGAGGUGACGAAGAAGAUUUUAAGGAAGAUCAAAAGGAAUGAAGGACAACCCUUUCCCCAAAUUCUGCUGCAGGAUCAACCAGCUAAUGCCACAGGUAUGUGUUCAUUAUGGUACUAAGUCAUACUACACUAAGACUGAUAAUAUAAGUGUAAUAUUUAAGGGGGGAGACCAAAUAGCUGCCAGUCUGAUUUAAUCUAAACCUUUCUCAUCUUUCCACAAUUCACUAACUUUCAUCUGUGUGAAAAGGUGAGAAAGUCUGCCCAAAAAGGAAAUCUACUUCUUCUCUCUAUAACUCAGUUUGAUAUUUAACUGCAAGAAGCAUUCAACUCCAGUCAAACAGAUCUUUAGUUAAUCUGCUAUAUGAGGUGGACAAUUUCUCAGUUUCCUAGACUUCCAAAAGUAACGUAUUUUUAGGACUACACAUAUAUAUAUAUAUAUAAACACCCAGCGCGCCCCUGCGGGCGGUUUAUCCUUCAAGCUCGGGUCCUCUACCAGAGGCCUGGGAGCUUGAGGGUCCUGCGCAGUAUCUUAGCUGUUCCCAGGACUGCGCUCUUCUGGACAGAGAUCUCCGAUGUUGUUCCCGGGAUCUGCUGGAGCCACUCGCCUAGCUUGGGAGUCACCGCACCUAGUGCUCCGAUUACCACGGGGACCACCGUCACCUUCACCCUCCACAUCCUCUCGAGCUCUUCUCUGAGCCCUUGGUAUUUCUCCAGCUUCUCGUGUUCCUUCUUCCUGAUAUUGCUGUCAUUCGGAACCGCUACAUCGAUCACUACGGCCGUCUUCUUCUGUUUGUCUACCACCACUAUGUCCGGUUGGUUAGCCACCACCAUUUUGUCCGUCUGCAUCUGGAAGUCCCACAGGAUCUUAGCUCGGUCAUUCUCCACCACCCUUGGGGGCAUCUCCCAUUUUGACCUCGGG